CAUGCGCGUUCACAGGGGAAGGACCUGCGCUCCACCGGUCAUCUGAAGUCAUUCUAAUUCUCCGGUUGGAACGUUAUUCAAGAUAUAUGUAAACAACAUUCUAAAGAUUGAUUCAGUACAUUGUUUGACAUGUUUCUACUGACUGUUCUGGAACUUUUGGACAUUUCGUUACGUUAUAGUGGACGCGCUUUGUGACUUUGGAAAUGUUUACCAAACGCGCUAACCAAUGUAGCUAAUUGGACAUAAAUAACGGACAUUUUCGAACAAAUCAAGCAUUUAUUGUGGACCUGGGAUUUCUAGGACUGACUGCAUUCUGAUGAAGUUCAUCAAAGAAGGUAGCACGGCAGGGCGCCAAGCCACUAGACAGGGGAGGACAGCGAUUAAUAAAUCACCCUAAAGGCAUCAUGGGAUGUUUGGAGCAGGCUGCAGGGCACCCUGGGACAGAGCCAUGUGUGUUUCCGGUGUCCUGGAACGCACCCUGUCUGGUUGCCGGGCGAAUUAGCUUGUUGGGAGAUCAUGUUCACCCGCACCUGUAUCCCAUCAGUAAUCUGCACACCUGUCCUGAUCAUCACCUCUCCCCUUCAAAAGCUCUGACCUGACCUCCAUUCCCUGCCGGAUCGUUAGCCAUGAACACCAUUCACCCGGAACCCAUACCCCAUCCAUGUCUGCUCGUCGCCAGGGUGUUGUUAUCCAUUGGAUCUGCCUAUCCACUCCCAUCAACCCACCUCCGCUGCCCGCUCCUCCACCCGGAACUAUCUACCUCCACGUUCUCAUUAAUUAAUAAAUACUCACCAUCUUUAUACUCACCUUGUCUGCUUCUGGGUCCAAUUCUGGUAAACCCUGACAUUAACGAUAUGAAUGCACAAUGCAAUGUUUUGAACAUUGGACAGCCUGCGUUACAAGUGAUGACUGUUUUGAGUUUUGUGUCGAGUUUUGAAAAAGGACCACAAGGUUCUGAAAUUAGUGCCAAAGUGAUUGUUAAAAACUGUAUAUGGCCUCAAAACAUGGUCAAAAAUAUAUUUUGGGCCUCGCGGGUGGCAUAAUGGUCUAAGGCACUGCGGCGCAGUGCUUGAGAUUUUGGAAUCGAGUCCAGGCUCUUUCGCAGCCGGUCACGACCGGGAGACCCAUGGGGCGGCGCACAAUUGGCCCAGCGUCGUCCGGGUUAGGGAGGGUUUGGCCGGCUGGGAUAUCCUUGUCUCAUCGCGCACUAGUGUCUCCUGUGGCGGGCCGGGCGCAGUGCACGCUGACACUGUCGCCAGGGGUACGGUGUUUCCUCUGACACAUUGGUGCGGCUGGCUUCCGGGUUGGAUGG
Long non-coding RNA from Oncorhynchus tshawytscha (Chinook salmon), 1312 nucleotides. The record is from Ensembl. NCBI's taxonomy places the organism in Eukaryota, Metazoa, Chordata, Actinopteri, Salmoniformes, Salmonidae.